CCCUCUCUAAUAGGCUGGUCCACAGAAACCCACCACUGCAGUGACUAAUCAAUAUCCCACCAAAUCAAUAAAAGUUUCAACAGCAUGACAUGGCAAUUAUAUUACUACCCAGCCUGUUAAGGCAAAACAAACAGUUCAUACAAUUUCAACACAAUUUUCAAUUCAGCCAUUCAUGCCAAUAUCACCAUAAGCCAUUCAAUUCAAACCAUAAAUUUACAACAUAAUCAAACAGUCUCCAAUUACUCAAUUUCUAAAAUCAUCAUUCAAUUUCAAAAUUAUUUAUAAAACUCAUUUCAUUUAAUCACAUUUUACUUAUAAAACAUAAGAAUU
Molecule: long non-coding RNA, 330 nt
Filed under: Theobroma cacao (cacao)
Lineage: Eukaryota; Viridiplantae; Streptophyta; Magnoliopsida; Malvales; Malvaceae
Description: long non-coding RNA (TCAC_LNC002339)
Source: RNAcentral